Molecule: ribosomal RNA, 1824 nt
Filed under: Triticum aestivum (bread wheat)
Lineage: Eukaryota; Viridiplantae; Streptophyta; Magnoliopsida; Poales; Poaceae
Description: partial small subunit ribosomal RNA
Source: RNAcentral
AUGCUCAAGCUCGACCUCACGCGCGCCUUCGACUCCCUAUCAUGGCCUUUCCUCUUUGAGGUGCUGGGCCGGUACGGAUUCGGAAACAGAUUCAUGGAGUGGACGGCCAUCCUCCUGUCCUCUGCCAGCACGCGCAUCCUCCUGAACGGCGAGCCCGGCCCCCCCAUAUGGCACCGACAAGGGCUCCGACAGGGCGACUCCAUGUCCCCACAGCUUUUCGUGCUCGCCGUCGACACCUUGGGACGGCUACUCCGACGCGCACACAGCCUGGGCAUCCUGCAGCCUCUUCACCCACGACGUCACAUCCCGGCGAUCUCCCUCUAUGCCGACGAUGUCAUGGUCUUCUGCCAUGCCACGAUGGAGGACACCACUGCGAUCAAGGAAAUACUCGCCUUGUUCGGCAAGGCCUCUGGCCUGACGGUGAACUUCACCAAAAGCUCCGCUACCAUCCUGCACGGAGACCAAGCUGCCAUGGAGAUGAUCGCACAACUCGGCUGCCCGGCGGCGAACCUUCCAAUCACCUACCUCGGCAUACCGAUGUCCACACGCCGCCCAUCUGCCGCCCAGCUGCAACCCAUGGUGGACGCGGUCGGCGCGCGCCUGCCAACAUGGAAGGCCUGGCUGAUGACUAAAACCGGGCGCCUCGCGUUGGUCAAGUCAGUCUUGUGCGCCAUCCCAGUGCACCAACUGCUCGCAUUCGCCCCCCCAAAAAAGACCCUCAAGCAGAUUGAGAAGAUCCUGCGCGGCUUCCUCUCGGCUGGCCGUGCCGCUGCCAAUGGUGGACACUGCCACGUGAACUGGAGCAGAGUGUGCCGCCCAAUCGAGCUCGGGGGCCUUGGCGUGCGAGACCUCGAGCGGGCCGGCCUCGCUCUCAGACUACGCUGGCUAUGGUUGUCCAGAACGGACCCGGAGCGAGCUUGGCAAGGGCUCAACCUCCAAUUUUUGCCCACGGAACGUGCCCUGUUCUGGGCAUCCACGUUCACGAUCCUCGGGAAUGGGCUGUCCGCCCUGCUCUGGGAGGACCGGUGGAUUGGCGGUCGAUCCGUGCGCGAGCUCAUGCCCAACUUAUACGGCUGCAUACCCAAGCGACGACGAACGACGAGAACUGUGGCAGAUGGGCUCAAUGGCAACGCCUGGGCACGUGACAUCCAAGGAAACCUAGGUCUCCACGAGAUUGGCCAGUACCUGCAACUUUGGCAGAUCAUGCAGCGCACCGAGCUUUCCACCUUACCGGACAAGUUGAUUUGGCGCUGGACAGCGAGCGGCAACUACUCUGCGCAGUCCUGCUACACGGCGACCUUCCAUGGAGCAACGGCCUGCCACUCAUGGAAGCUGAUUUGGAAAUGCUGGGCGCCACCGCGAGUCAGGUUCUUCCACUGGUUGGCCAACCAGGACCGAUGCUGGACGGCUGAGAGGCUGGCUCGCCAUGGCCUCCAGCAUCACCCCCGCUGCCUCCUAUGUGACCAGCAACAGGAAACGAUGCGACACCUCAUGCUGGAAUGCCCUCUCGCCCGUCAGGCAUGGCACGAGACCCUGGCCUGGCUUCGCAUCCCGGCCCCGAUCCCCUCGCAGGAACCAUCGCUUACGGACUGGUGGAGACAGGACAACGAAGAUACGCCACCGACACUACGCAAGGCCCUGAAAUCUGUUGCGUUGCUCGUGCCUUGGAUGGUCUGGAAGCACCGAAACAGCUGCGUCUUUGAUAAUGCGACGCCUUCCCUCAACACACUACUAGAUAGCAUUAGGGACGAGGCCCGCUCAUGGGCGGCAGCAGGGGCACCUGGCCUCCGACUUGUGUUGCCCCAAACCUGGGAUGUGCACUAA